Molecule: ribosomal RNA, 244 nt
Filed under: uncultured bacterium
Lineage: Bacteria
Description: partial small subunit ribosomal RNA
Rfam family: Bacterial small subunit ribosomal RNA
Source: RNAcentral
AGAAUCAACGCUGGCGGCGUGCCUAACACGUGCAAGUCGAACGAGAAAGUGGAGCAAUCCAUGAGUAAAGUGGCGACCGGGUGAGUAACACGUGACUAACCUACCUUCGAGUGGGGGAUAACCUCGGGAAACCGAGGCUAAUACCGCAUAACAUCGUGAGAUCAAAGCAGUAAUGCGCUGGAAGAGGGGGUCGCGGCUGAUUAGCUAGUUGGCGGGUAAUGGCCCACCAAGGCGAAGAUCGGUA